AUUUGAAACACUCGUUCCCUUAUGAUCACCAAAGUUAAGCAACACUGAGUUUGGUCAGUACCUAGAUGGGUGACCAUUUGAGAAUACCAGGUGCUGUAAG
Acanthosepion pharaonis is the source of this 100-nucleotide non-coding RNA. Lineage: Eukaryota; Metazoa; Mollusca; Cephalopoda; Sepiida; Sepiidae. The record is from the annotation of a GenBank genome assembly.